Molecule: ribosomal RNA, 497 nt
Filed under: uncultured bacterium
Lineage: Bacteria
Description: partial 16S ribosomal RNA
Rfam family: Bacterial small subunit ribosomal RNA
Source: RNAcentral
GAUGAACGCUGGCGGCGUGCCUAAUACAUGCAUGUCGAGCGAACAGACGAGGAGCUUGCUCCUCUGACGUUAGCGGCGGACGGGUGAGUAACACGUGGAUAACCUACCUCUAAGACUGGGAUAACUUCGGGAAACCGGAGCUAAUACCGGAUAAUAUAUUGAACCGCAUGGUUCAAUAGUGAAAGACGGUUUUGCUGUCACUUAUAGAUGGCUCCGCGCCGCAUUAGCUAGUUGGUAAGGUAACGGCUUACCAAGGCGACGAUGCGUAGCCGACCUGAGAGGGUGAUCGGCCACACUGGAACUGAGACACGGUCCAGACUCCUACGGGAGGCAGCAGUAGGGAAUCUUCCGCAAUGGGCGAAAGCCUGACGGAGCAACGCCGCGUGAGUGAUGAAGGUCUUCGGAUCGUAAAACUCUGUUAUUAGGGAAGAACAAAUGUGUAAGUAACUAUGCACGGCUUGAGGGUACCUAAUCAGAGAGCCACGGCUAAGAACGUG